RNAcentral lists this transfer RNA (58 nucleotides) under Neoscona nautica (brown sailor spider). RNAcentral describes it as "tRNA-His". The record is from RNAcentral. Lineage: Eukaryota; Metazoa; Arthropoda; Arachnida; Araneae; Araneidae.
GUAUAAUUAGUUUAAAUAAAACAGUGGUUUGUGGAACCAUAAAUAGUAAAAUUUUUUU